Long non-coding RNA from Capsicum annuum, 963 nucleotides. RefSeq lists it as uncharacterized. The record is from RefSeq and is a predicted model, not a curated record. Lineage: Eukaryota; Viridiplantae; Streptophyta; Magnoliopsida; Solanales; Solanaceae. The transcript is spliced from 2 exons.
UUCCACCAGCCCACUCCAGCAACUUCCCCUUCACUUAAACAAAAUAACAACCAUCACCCCAAAGCCCAAUUCUGCACCCAACCAGCCCAUAACAUACAACAGCCCAUUCCCCUUACCUCUUUAACAACCCUGCGCAGGCCCACAUCCCCAGCAACCCAAUCUGCCGCCCCAAGCCCUAAAAAAGACCCGACCCAGUCCCGCUUUUCUCCACUAAUUAAACAACAACAUCAACGACCACCGUACAACAGCAACCAACGCAACAAUUAACAGAAGAAAUUUCAAAGCGGUAACAGUACAACAACGGCAAAAACAGCUCAGCAAACAAGGUUCCAAUUCCAGGUCAAACCUAUUUACCCCUCCGUCUCCCCCCAAAAUCAGUGUCAAAUCUUCUGUAAAUAUCCAACUAUGUAAAGAGAAAGAGGGAGAAUUUUUGGGAAAAAAUUUGAGGAUUCGAGAGGCGUGCUUCUAAUCCUACGUAACCAAAAUUUCUCGAAGAAACAGACUCAAGAGCUUGAUUCCGACGAAAAUUAAACUCCGAAUUUAGUGUUGGAAGUUUCAUCGUAAAGUCUCGUAAUCCCAGUUCGCUGCUCGGAAAAAGGGACUGGUAUACAUUUGUAUACUGUGGAUCUACACUGGAAAACAGCAGCUGCACAUCAUCACGCGAUUUAUGAUGAAAAGUGGAGGGAAAAUAAGCACUUUUCGACACUGAUAUACACUAUAUAUGCAGUGAUAUACAACAAAAAACGCAGAGGAAUACAGCUUGUAUACAUGUAGUAUACACUGCAGAAAUGGGACCAAAAAGUUUAUAAAGAAUGGGCCCAAAAGCUGGCCAGAUUUGGGAAAAGGCCCAAAUUUUGAUUCUUCUUAUUUAUUUUGUAAAUCCUAUUUGAUUAUGUGCUUGUCUUAAAUUAUUAACUUGGUUAGCCUUUAUAAAUCCUCUGUGAAUCGUUAUUUUUGUUUGUC